UAUUUUAAUUCUUAGAUAUUAAACUUUAUUAAAUUUAUCAUCUUUACAAUAUGAAUAUAUCCAAAAAAUAUUUUUUUCAAACCAAAUUUUUGUACUAUAGAGAUGUAAGUCUUUUAAGAUAGUCCAAGUAGUCUUAAGGAUCUAUCCUAAUACUGAUAACACAAGCGACUUCACUUAUAUCUUACAUCUUAAAAUAUUAAGAUAGAAACUGAUUGAUUUUCUUA
This 224-nucleotide long non-coding RNA is filed under the name Elaeis guineensis (African oil palm). RNAcentral describes it as "long non-coding RNA (EGUI_LNC007789)". The record is from RNAcentral. Lineage: Eukaryota; Viridiplantae; Streptophyta; Magnoliopsida; Arecales; Arecaceae.